UUUAAUUAAUACUUAAAUUUAAUGAUUGUACUAGAAGAAUAAGUACCGGCUAAUUACGUGCCAGCAGCCGCGGUAAUACGUAAGGUGCUAGCGUUAAUCGGAUUUAUUGGGCGUAAAGUGUGAUUAGGUGGUUUGAAAAGAUUUUUGUAAAAUACUUAAGCUCAACUUAAGAUAUGCAUAAAUAACUUUCUUACUAGAGUUAAAUAUAGGUUGAUAGAAUUCUAUAUGUAGCGGUGAAAUGCGUAGAUAUUUAGAGGAAUACCGAUGGCGAAAGCAAUCAACUGAUUUUAUACUGACACUGAUUCACGAAAGCGUGGGUAGCAAACAGGAUUAGAUACCCUGGUAGUCCACGCCCUAAACGAUGUCAACUAAUUAUUAGAUAUUUUAAUUUAGUAAUGUAGCUAACGCGUUAAGUUGACCGCCUGGGGAUUACGAUCGCAAGAUUAAAACUCAAAGGAAUUGACGGGGAUCAGUACAAGCGGUGGAUGAUGUGGAUUAAUUCGAUGCUACACGAAAAACCUUACCUACUCUUGACAUGAUCGAAAUUUUAUUGAGAAAUAAAAGUGCCUGUAAAGGAAUCGAUACACAGGUGCUGCAUGGCUGUCGUCAGCUCGUGUCGUGAGAUGUUGGGUUAAGUCCCGCAACGAGCGCAACCCUUGUUUCUAGUUGCUAAGUAUUUUUAUACAGAACUUUAGAAAGACCGCUAAUGACAAGUUAGAGGAAGGAAAGGAUGACUUCAAGUCCUCAUGGCCCUUAUGGGUAGGGCUUCACACGUCAUACAAUGGUUGGUACAAAAAGUUGCGAAAUCGCGAGAUUAAGCUAAUCUUUAAAACCAAUCUCAGUCCGGAUUGUACUCUGCAACUCGAGUACAUGAAGUAGGAAUCGCUAGUAAUCGCGGAUCAGCAUGUCGCGGUGAAUAAGUCAAC
Molecule: ribosomal RNA, 926 nt
Filed under: Betaproteobacteria endosymbiont of Gargara genistae
Lineage: Bacteria; Pseudomonadati; Pseudomonadota; Betaproteobacteria
Description: bacterial SSU rRNA
Rfam family: Bacterial small subunit ribosomal RNA
Source: RNAcentral